AGUAAUAUAUCGGAACGUACCCAGUAGUGGGGGAUAACUAUCCGAAAGGAUGGCUAAUACCGCAUACGACCUGAGGGUGAAAGGGGGGGAUCGCAAGACCUCUCGCUAUUGGAGCGGCCGAUAUCAGAUUAGCUAGUUGGUGGGGUAAAGGCCUACCAAGGCAACGAUCUGUAGUUGGUCUGAGAGGACGACCAGCCACACUGGGACUGAGACACGGCCCAGACUCCUACGGGAGGCAGCAGUGGGGAAUUUUGGACAAUGGGCGCAAGCCUGAUCCAGCAAUGCCGCGUGCAGGAAGAAGGCCUUCGGGUUGUAAACUGCUUUUGUCAGGGAAGAAAUCCUCUAGGUUAAUACCCUUGGGGGGAUGACGGUACCUGAAGAAUAAGCACCGGCUA
This 395-nucleotide ribosomal RNA is filed under the name uncultured bacterium. Its description in RNAcentral is "bacterial SSU rRNA". It matches the Rfam family "Bacterial small subunit ribosomal RNA", at positions 109 to 499 of the family's 1533-position model. The record is from RNAcentral.